CCUACGGGAGGCAGCAGUGGGGAAUUUUGGACAAUGGGCGCAAGCCUGAUCCAGCAAUGCCGCGUGCAGGAAGAAGGCCUUCGGGUUGUAAACUGCUUUUGUACGGAACGAAACGGUCUGGGUUAAUACCCUGGGCUAAUGACGGUACCGUAAGAAUAAGCACCGGCUAACUACGUGCCAGCAGCCGCGGUAAUACGUAGGGUGCAAGCGUUAAUCGGAAUUACUGGGCGUAAAGCGUGCGCAGGCGGUGAUGUAAGACAGGCGUGAAAUCCCCGGGCUCAACCUGGGAAUUGCGCUUGUGACUGCAUCGCUGGAGUGCGGCAGAGGGGGAUGGAAUUCCGCGUGUAGCAGUGAAAUGCGUAGAUAUGCGGAGGAACACCGAUGGCGAAGGCAAUCCCCUGGGCCUGCACUGACGCUCAUGCACGAAAGCGUGGGGAGCAAACAGGAUUAGAUACCCUGGUAGUCCACGCCCUAAACGAUGUCAACUGGUUGUUGGGUAUUUACUUACUCAGUAACGAAGCUAACGCGUGAAGUUGACCGCCUGGGGAGUACGGCCGCAAGGUUUAAACUCAAAUGAAUUGACGG
Molecule: ribosomal RNA, 585 nt
Filed under: uncultured bacterium
Lineage: Bacteria
Description: bacterial SSU rRNA
Rfam family: Bacterial small subunit ribosomal RNA
Source: RNAcentral